AGAAUUUUCUGCUUCCAUAGCAUUUCUUUGAAGCUCAUUAUAGUCAGCCUAUAAAAAUGAAAAUCAAUAAUAAUAAAAAAAUAUGACUUAAAUAUCUUAAAACGAAGCAUUUCUAACGAAUUUUCUUACAAUGAAGCAUCCUCCCUUUGGAUGGGCCCAGUCGUUUGUCUUAGCCAAACUAUGUGUUUUCUUAUAAACCUCACAGUGACCGACUUCAUAACCAGCUUCUUCAUUCUGAUUGUUAUACUCAAAAAAAUUAGAAUGAUAAAUGUAAAAUAUAUGAAAGAAAUGUUUUUUUACCAUUCUUUCAUGAGUGGCCGCAACAGAACAAGAUCCACCCGUGUAUGGCAUGCAAUCUGGAUUGUUUGUCCUAUUUUCUGAUGCUUUUUCUGAUCUUUUUUUCCAAUCUUCUUUUAACCAAAUUUCAAUCAUUUCACUCCAUACUUCCGCAGAUAGGUAUAUCGGUGGAAAUCUAGCGCAAGAUCUGGUCAGUGUGUCAACUUUUGCCAAUUUCUUUGCCUCUUGUCUCGCUUUAUACAACCAACAUGUAUAAUUUAAUUGUACAUAAUUAUCAAAACAUUCACGAGCCAAUUGAAUGUCCUCAAAUGAGAAAUAGCA
This 618-nucleotide long non-coding RNA is filed under the name Zostera marina. RNAcentral's name for it is "long non-coding RNA (ZMAR_LNC004061)". Lineage: Eukaryota; Viridiplantae; Streptophyta; Magnoliopsida; Alismatales; Zosteraceae. The record is from RNAcentral.